UGGGCGCUGGGUUCACACGUCCAACUUUACUUCUAAAGAGCUUUUGCGUGGCCAGAGAAAUCAACUGCUCGCCUAGUUGAAUGGAGUAGAUUUGCGCUGUGCCGUGGCAAGAGCUUUCCAGCAAGGCCCCCAGGGGCAUUGAAACCUUUCCUUCCGCAGGCCAAGAAGAGAGACUUAAGAGAACAGGCGCUCACUUCGUGACUCGUUCGCCUGGGCCUGGGUAGGAGUUCCCUCUGCUGUGCGACCUAACGUGGUCUUAUCGCCAAAGACGGGUAAACGGAGGGAGGCCCGAAGGACGAAAAGGUGCAACCCGGUGUUGCAAAGAAGUGAUCCGGAGCCCGUCUGUGCGUCAUGCACACGAUUUAAACCAGCCACUUACCGCAGGCUUCAACCAUUUGAGGAGUCCUAAAGCAACGGCCCGCUUUCCUGUACAAGGGACCGGAAACCCGGUUCGGAAGCAAGAGCGAACAGAAUUUGCAGACCGCGUUGUCUUUCCGCGAGGAAGUGCGCCGGCUCAUUUGGAGCGCGUGGCCCCCCGCUGUUUGAAAGUCUGCUCAUAUCGUGCGGUAUCCUGAGGGAACAACCCUUCUCGAUCUUCGACAUUCCCUUCUUCCCACCCCAGGUGGCCUCCCUAAGCAGCACCAGAGACCCCUCAUUUCCCCGACCAGCUCAAAAAUAAUUGGAGGAUGGAAUUCCCCACACCUUAAAUGUGGGCCGUGCACAGUGACUUCUGUCCAACGACUGCGGUAUAGACAGAAGGGCAAGCAACUUUCCUGGAGAAGAACCUGACCAACACUGCUCUUAGGCCAGACGCACAGCCCCCGUCUAAUCACGAGAAAGCGAAGCAGGCAUGUUCCAACGGGGGGCGUCUUACAGUGUCCCUGGCGGGUGCGCGACACCGUCCAGAUCCUCAGAAGCAAGGAAAGUCUGAGAAAACGGCACAGCCUGGGGGAGCCCCAGGAGGCAUAACUAGAUGUCGUGUGGCGUCCUGGAAGGGAUCCUGGGACAGAGAAAGGACACGAGGCCUACACGCUCCGUCUAGAGAACCCUGGUCUCUCCGGAAGGUAUAGAAUCUCUGAUUUCUAGCGUCUAAUUUUAAAGGUUGCUACAGGCAGGGGUAAUCGAGCACCUACCUGGCAAGUUUUUCUUCUUCCUCGUACAUAUCCGUGGCCACGAAAG
Molecule: long non-coding RNA, 1179 nt
Organism: Acinonyx jubatus (cheetah)
Lineage: Eukaryota; Metazoa; Chordata; Mammalia; Carnivora; Felidae
Exons: 3
Source: RefSeq, a predicted model, not a curated record